CCUACGGGUGGCAGCAGUGAGGAAUAUUGGUCAAUGGCCGAGAGGCUGAACCAGCCAAGUCGCGUGAGGGAAGACGGCCCUACGGGUUGUAAACCUCUUUUGUCGGGGAGCAAAGCGAACCACGUGUGGUUCAUUGAGAGUACCCGAAGAAAAAGCAUCGGCUAACUCCGUGCCAGCAGCCGCGGUAAUACGGAGGAUGCGAGGGUUAUCCGGUUUUAUUGGGUUAAAAGGGUGCGCAGGGGGCGGGGCAAGUCAGCGGUCAAAGUGCGGGGCUAAACCUCGUACUGCCGUUGAAACUGCAUCGCUUGAGUGCGCGAGAAGUAUGCGGAAUGCGUGGUGUAGCGGUGAAAUGCAUAGAUAUCACGCAGAACUCCGAUUGCGAAGGCAGCAUACCGGCUCGCAACUGACGCUCAUACACGAAAGCGUGGGUAUCGAACAGGAUUAGAUACCCUUGUAGUC
Molecule: ribosomal RNA, 459 nt
Filed under: uncultured bacterium
Lineage: Bacteria
Description: partial 16S ribosomal RNA
Rfam family: Bacterial small subunit ribosomal RNA
Source: RNAcentral